CCUACGCGAGGCAGCAGUGGGGAAUAUUGGGCAAUGGGCGCAAGCCUGACCCAGCAACGCCGCGUGAAGGAAGAAGGCUCUCGGGUUGUACACUUCUUUUAUCAAGGACGAAACAAAUGCCGGUACUUGAUGAAUAAGCCACGCCUAACUACGUGCCAGCAGCCGCGGUAUUACGUAGGUGGCAAGCGUUAUCCGGAUUUACUGGGGGGAAAGGGCGUGUAGCGGGGACUGCAAGUCAGAUGUGAAACCUAUGGGUUGAACCCAUGGCCUGCAUUUGAAAUUGUGGUUGGUGAGUGUUGGAGAGGCAGGCGGAAUUCCGUGUGUAGCGGUGAAAUGCGUAGAUAUACGGAGGAACACCAGUGGCGAAGGCGGCCUGCUGGACAAUAACUGACGCUGAGGCGCGAAAGCGUGGGGAGCAAACAGGAUUAGAUACCCGAGUAGUC
This 443-nucleotide ribosomal RNA is filed under the name uncultured bacterium. Its description in RNAcentral is "partial 16S ribosomal RNA". It matches the Rfam family "Bacterial small subunit ribosomal RNA", at positions 338 to 795 of the family's 1533-position model. The record is from RNAcentral.